Choloepus didactylus (southern two-toed sloth) is the source of this 310-nucleotide long non-coding RNA. RefSeq lists it as uncharacterized. The record is from RefSeq and is a predicted model, not a curated record. NCBI's taxonomy places the organism in Eukaryota, Metazoa, Chordata, Mammalia, Pilosa, Megalonychidae. The transcript is spliced from 3 exons.
UGUUCUCCCACACUGGAUCCCCCAGCCCUGCCCCACAGCCUGGGGUUUCUGGGGACCAGGGCCCUGUCCUUGCUCCCUGGUGUUCUGGAUUGUCCGGGAGGGCUGGCUCCAACACCCUCGGCCUAGUUCCCAACCAGGGAAUGGGGUGGCCCAAGAUACAUCAGCCCCAGGAAGUCAGAGUCCUCGUCUCCACGGACUUGUUUGGUGGCAACCAUGGUGCCCAGGCGAACGCACCCCACCCAUCCCACACCGCAAAGUGCUCCUGAACUCCCAGCUUGGAACACCUGGAACUUUGGCUUUGGGAUUGGAC